UUAACGCAGCCAGGAUUGCCCCUAGCCGCCGAGACACAUCCAUAAUUCUAGACCCAGUCAUCGACACAUCGAGCCAGCCGCUCGCUUCCUCGCGACCUCCCGAUUCUGCCAUCUCGCUCGCUCGUCGCUCGCCGUCCCCGCCUAUGUAGCCGAUCGUUGGGCGCCCAGGACCACAGCCUGUCCAUCCCGCCCGCUCGGUGUUUGGGGCUCGGCGGCGGCCGCGCCACCUCAAUUGCAGAGUCUUGCCCCUACAAGCCGGCGCCGCUGCCCAAUCUGCACAUCAGCGCUCGGCCAAGAGGAAGUAGCCAGCCAGCAAGCAUCCGUGUUGAUUUGCGGGAAACAAUGAGAAGCACUGAGGUUUACAAGAUGGCUUCACUGAUGAUUACCUCUCAAAC
Molecule: long non-coding RNA, 395 nt
Organism: Triticum dicoccoides
Lineage: Eukaryota; Viridiplantae; Streptophyta; Magnoliopsida; Poales; Poaceae
Exons: 3
Source: RefSeq, a predicted model, not a curated record